Molecule: long non-coding RNA, 932 nt
Organism: Rosa chinensis
Lineage: Eukaryota; Viridiplantae; Streptophyta; Magnoliopsida; Rosales; Rosaceae
Exons: 3
Source: RefSeq, a predicted model, not a curated record
GCAAAAUUGGAGUACUUCAAGUUUGCAGGCUAGGUUAAUUGAGGUCGGGCGUACAUGGAGUCGAGGCAUAGCCAACAGCAUUGCUUCCGCGUACUCAUUCUAUUUCUGUGUUCUUUACUACCUAAUGGAAUAGUAUUGCUCUGAUAACCUGUGAAAUUAAUCUUGUAAUGUGGGUUGAGAUUGUUAUUUGUGAAAUUGGAAGUUGAUGUUAUUUGGGGAGCAGGGUGGCUCCAGGAGAAUAAGGAUGGAUGAUUUAGAAGUGUAAAUGUUUUCUACAGGUUUUGGGUAGUCCAUUUUUAGGGGAAGUUCUGCCAAAUUUUUGGUAGAAUUUCUUCUAAGGUGGGCCCCGCAGGGCCUCUUCGGAUUUCGGAGUGAAAUUCAGAGCGGGUCCUGUCACUGUUGAUGGGCACGUGAGAACCCAAUUUUAAAUGACCAUUUCACCCCUCCGUUGAGAGGGAUGGCGCCACAGUAAAGAGUUUCUUACCCACUGCAACUUCUUUGUCGUUUGUGAAUCAGGAAAUGACGAUUCUGCCUUUCCGUUAACAGAUGUUUAGGGCGCAGCGUGCGCAACGCUCAUUCCAGAAAUUGCCUGCAGCAGGUAGUCAGCCAUAAUCAACUUUGAGCGACUCUCUCAAAAAACUCUAACUUGAAGUGGAGUAGACGGAAGAAAAAAAGAAUGAGGAAGCGCAUUGAGGAAUGGCAGGUCUAAAAGACAAAUUUCUGUUUUUACUGGGAGAAAAUCCGAAAUUGAAGAGAAGAAGAUGGGAGGAAGGAUGGUGUGUUGAGGAAGGAUGGGUCACAGCACUCGCAAGUUUUUCUUCUAAUGUCAUGAUUUGUUUUUACUACUGUACCUGCAACAUAAUUAGUUGUAAAACAAAAAUAAAUCGGGGUUUUAUACGUUCGUGUCCCAAUUUUUUUUUUUUUUGUCAUUG